RNAcentral lists this ribosomal RNA (443 nucleotides) under uncultured bacterium. RNAcentral's name for it is "SSU rRNA". It matches the Rfam family "Bacterial small subunit ribosomal RNA", at positions 26 to 518 of the family's 1533-position model. The record is from RNAcentral.
AGAACGAACGCUGGCGGCAGGCUUAACACAUGCAAGUCGAACGCCCCGCAAGGGGAGCGGCAGACGGGUGAGUAACGCGUGGGAACAUACCCUCCGGUUCGGAAUAGCUCAGGGAAACUUGGAUUAAUACCGGAUACGGCCUAGCGGCGAAAGAUUCAUCGCCGGAGGAUUGGCCCGCGUUCGAUUAGCUAGUUGGUGAGGUAACGGCUCACCAAGGCGACGAUCGAUAGCUGGUCUGAGAGGAUGAUCAGCCACAUUGGGACUGAGACACGGCCCAAACUCCUACGGGAGGCAGCAGUGGGGAAUAUUGGACAAUGGGCGCAAGCCUGAUCCAGCCAUGCCGCGUGAGUGAUGACGGCCUUAGGGUUGUAAAGCUCUUUCGCUAGGGACGAUAAUGACGGUACCUAGACAAGACGCCCGGCUAACUUCGUGCCAGCAGCCGC